AAGUCCGUCCGCUCGCUGGCCCAACAACCAGCCACGCCGAGCGACACUGCAUUUCCAUUUAUCCCUGCGUCGACGUGGGUUACUCGGGGUGCCAGUGUGCCACUCAGUGCCACACACGAAGAAGCAAGUCUGCGGUUAGAAUCGCUGUGCCUUCCGAGUGCCUCCGAGAUUGGACAGGUUACGACCAUCUAGCAUCGGGGGGAAAAGUGCCUCUUAAAAGCAAAAAUUCCAGGCAAGGAAAAACGCCUUAGCAACACACCGCCGGCCAAACUAGAGAGAAACGAAGAAGAAAGGAGAACGGUGGAGAAGAGGAGUGACGAAGAAUAGGGAAGAGAGAAAGGACACAAGUCGGAACUGACGUCACACCUCCCGACAGGAGCUGCUGAGUCAACGAAGUCUUGACGCCAUCAAUCAACGAAAAAAAAUAUCCCUCUCGAAGCUCUUUCUUGCUUCAUCUUUGCGUCAGUCUCUUGCAUCAACGCCUUUCAUUGUGGAGCUACUUUACAUAUGUAAAUCACCGGUUCCUCAAGAUCCUUCAAGGAGUAGAAUUUAUCCGCGAAACUCUACAAGAAACCCGAGGAACGGAGCUGAGAAAUGACUGUAGCCCGGGCGUCCGGCGCUCGUUCAGGGACAGAAUGCAUCGCUGCAGGUGAGCUGUACGUCUUGCAGUUGCAAAGUUGCGGCAGUUAAGAAGCACCCAUGGGGAAGCAGGGAGCACUUGCGAGCCGGCGGAUGGAAAGAUGCAAGACUAGGAGGGGAAUUUAUCAAAGAUGAAUGAUGAAUAAAACCAGCGCCUGAAAUGGA
Penaeus monodon (black tiger shrimp) is the source of this 804-nucleotide long non-coding RNA. RefSeq lists it as uncharacterized. The transcript is spliced from 3 exons. The record is from RefSeq and is a predicted model, not a curated record. Lineage: Eukaryota; Metazoa; Arthropoda; Malacostraca; Decapoda; Penaeidae.